Molecule: transfer RNA, 91 nt
Filed under: Sclerotinia borealis F-4128
Lineage: Eukaryota; Fungi; Ascomycota; Leotiomycetes; Helotiales; Sclerotiniaceae
Rfam family: tRNA
About the family: Transfer RNA (tRNA) molecules are approximately 80 nucleotides in length.
Source: Rfam by way of RNAcentral
GGCCGGAUGGUGUAGUUGGUUAUCACGUGUCCUUAACAAUCUCUUGAGAUCGAAUCGGACAAGGUCGAGAGUUCGAGCCUCUCUUUGGUCA